Molecule: ribosomal RNA, 475 nt
Filed under: uncultured bacterium
Lineage: Bacteria
Description: SSU rRNA
Rfam family: Bacterial small subunit ribosomal RNA
Source: RNAcentral
AGAAUCAACGCUGGCGGCGUGCCUAACACAUGCAAGUCGAACGAGAAAGUGGAGCAAUCCAUGAGUAAAGUGGCGACCGGGUGAGUAACACGUGACUAACCUACCCUCGAGUGGGGAAUAACUCCGGGAAACCGGAGCUAAUACCGCAUAACAUCUUCGGAACUCAGGUUCUGUUGAUCAAAGGAGCAAUUCGCUUGAGGAGGGAGUCGCGGCUGAUUAGCUAGUUGGCGGGUAAUGGCCCACCAAGGCUUAGAUCGGUAGCCGGCCUGAGAGGGCGCACGGCCACACUGGAACUGAAACACGGUCCAGACUCCUACGGGAGGCAGCAGUGGGGAAUUUUGCGCAAUGGGGGAAACCCUGACGCAGCAACGCCGCGUGGAGGAUGAAGUCCCUUGGGAUGUAAACUCCUUUCGACCGGGAAGAUACUGACGGUACCGGUAGAAGAAGCACCGGCUAACUCUGUGCCAGCAGCCGC